ACAUUCCUCUCUCUCUCUAAAAUAGGGAGCCUAUUAGGGUUACUAGAUGGCCUGCGAUAUUGAUGGGUUCUUGAGAUCAUCAAUUCAUUAUCAUCGUCCACUCAAUUUAAAGGGUCCCCCUCUUAUCUUUCCACAGCUUUCUUGAACUGAAUUAUAUGUAAUUCAUGUAGUCCAUCUUCGACUACUAAUUUAUAUAUUCAUUCAUCCAUCAUUACAGUUCAAUAAAGCUGUGGGAAGUUAAGGGUAGAACCUAAAAAACCUUAAUUCCAGCUCUCUCUUGUUUGACACAUUACUGUCUUUUGUUUUUUCAAUGUUUUUUUUUGAAGAAAUUUAGUUUAAUCUGCCAAUUCCCAGAUCCAGAUCUGACAAUUCUUUACUGGGUAUAUAUUAUUAUUGUUUUUUAAAUCAGGGUUUACUUGUAGGUGCUAGAUUAGCAAACUAUCUUGUUUGGAACUUGAUCAUGGACUAUAUAUGAGUGGUUGUUUCUUCUAGGCUUGCAUGGCGGCAUUUCAGCAGGUAGCUUGAGUUUGGACUUCCAUGAAGACUAAAGACUUCAUUUUUCUUGACUUGUUUUGAGAAGAUGAUCUUAUUGUGUACUUAUUUAUUAAAAACCCUUGACAUAAAAUGAUGGAUAUUUAAUUAUAUGAAAUAAUAAACUAUAUAUUUAAUAAUUAGCUGGUAUAUAAUGGUGAUUUGAGACAAGUUGACAUCAUUCAAUUAUGUUUGAUUGGACCACAUGAACUAGU
Impatiens glandulifera is the source of this 746-nucleotide long non-coding RNA. RefSeq lists it as uncharacterized. The record is from RefSeq and is a predicted model, not a curated record. The transcript is spliced from 2 exons. Lineage: Eukaryota; Viridiplantae; Streptophyta; Magnoliopsida; Ericales; Balsaminaceae.